RNAcentral lists this ribosomal RNA (245 nucleotides) under uncultured bacterium. Its description in RNAcentral is "partial small subunit ribosomal RNA". It matches the Rfam family "Bacterial small subunit ribosomal RNA", at positions 26 to 285 of the family's 1533-position model. The record is from RNAcentral.
AGAAUCAACGCUGGCGGCGUGCCUAACACAUGCAAGUCGCACGAGAAAGUGGAGCAAUCCACGAGUAAAGUGGCGCACGGGUGAGUAACACGUGAAUAAUCUACCUCCGAGUGGGGAAUAACUGAGAGAAAUCUUAGCUAAUACCGCAUAAUACCCACGGGUCAAAGCAGCAAUGCGCUUGGAGAGGAGUUCGCGGCAGAUUAGUUAGUUGGCGGGGUAAUGGCCCACCAAGACGAUGAUCUGUA